RNAcentral lists this long non-coding RNA (379 nucleotides) under Microcebus murinus (gray mouse lemur). Its description in RNAcentral is "lncRNA (ENSMICG00000048433.1)". The record is from RNAcentral. Lineage: Eukaryota; Metazoa; Chordata; Mammalia; Primates; Cheirogaleidae.
UGACUGAUUGGUGGCCAAGCCAUACAAGCUAUUACAUAUUUUGAAUAUCAUUCCUUCCUACAGGUCCUCACAUGCAAAAAUAUUAAUAUAUUCAACUCUACUGUGUUGAAGGCUUCAUGAAAUCACACCUUCAAAAAUAGCAGUUCUGUCAUUUUAUACAACAUUGAAAACAUCAGAGUCAUCUGAUAAAUACUGAUCAGCCAGUUAGGUGCAGUGUGUAUUCAUGAAGUGCCAUCAUUGAUUACCUGGAUCUCAUAAAUGCUAGCACAGGAGAAAAACAGAGAUGCAUGUGAACAGCAGAGAAGGACAAAGAGAAGAAGCAGCGAACAGAAGCCACGAGGCAGUAGCAGCGGUGAGAAAGCAGAACUUUGAGUCAGAG